UACGUAGGGUGCAAGCAUUAAUCGGAUUUAUUGGGCGUAAAGGACGCGUAGGCGGAUAAGCCAGUCAGUUGUGAAAUCCCUCGGCUCAACCGGGGAACGGCAAUUGAAACUACUUGUCUUGAGGGUAGAUGGAGAGAACGGAAUUCCACGUGUAGCGGUGAAAUGCGUAGAUAUGUGGAAGAACACCGGUGGCGAAGGCGGUUCUCUAAUUUAUACCUGACGCUGAGGCGUGAAAGCAAGGGGAGCAAACAGG
Molecule: unclassified non-coding RNA, 253 nt
Filed under: uncultured Chlamydiales bacterium
Lineage: Bacteria; Pseudomonadati; Chlamydiota; Chlamydiia; Chlamydiales
Description: contains 16S-23S intergenic spacer region
Rfam family: Bacterial small subunit ribosomal RNA
Source: RNAcentral